UACGAAGGGGGCUAGCGUUGUUCGGAAUUACUGGGCGUAAAGCGCGCGUAGGCGGUUUUGCAAGCCCGAGGUGAAAUGCCUGAGCUCAACUUAGGAAUUGCCUUUGGGACUGCGAGGCUUUGAGGACUGGAGAGGUGAGUGGAAUUCCCAGUGUAGAGGUGAAAUUCGUAGAUAUUGGGAAGAACACCGGUGGCGAAGGCGGCUCACUGGCCAGUUUCUGACGCUGCAGCGCGAAAGCGUGGGGAUCAAACAGG
RNAcentral lists this ribosomal RNA (254 nucleotides) under uncultured bacterium. Its description in RNAcentral is "partial 16S ribosomal RNA". It matches the Rfam family "Bacterial small subunit ribosomal RNA", at positions 524 to 776 of the family's 1533-position model. The record is from RNAcentral.